RNAcentral lists this ribosomal RNA (440 nucleotides) under uncultured bacterium. RNAcentral describes it as "partial 16S ribosomal RNA". It matches the Rfam family "Bacterial small subunit ribosomal RNA", at positions 338 to 795 of the family's 1533-position model. The record is from RNAcentral.
CCUACGGGUGGCAGCAGUGGGGAAUAUUGCACAAUGGGGGGAACCCUGAUGCAGCAACGCCGCGUGGGUGAAGAAGUACUCCGGUAUGUAAAGCCCUUUCAGCAGGGAAGAAAAUGACGGUACCUGACCAAGAAGCCCCGGCUAACUACGUGCCAGCAGCCGCGGUAAUACGUAGGGGGCAAGCGUUAUCCGGAUUUACUGGGUGUAAAGGGAGCGUAGACGGAGAGACAAGUCUGCAGGGAAAGCCCGGGGCCCAACCACGGGACUGCUUUGGAAACUGUGUUUCUGGAGUGAAGGAGGGGUAAGCGGAAUUCCGAGUGUAGCGGGGAAAUGCGUAGAUAUUAGGAGGAACACCGGUGGCGAAGGCGGCUUACUGGACUGUAACUGACGUUGAGGCUCGAAGGCGUGGGGAGCAAACAGGAUUAGAUACCCGUGUAGUC